RNAcentral lists this ribosomal RNA (781 nucleotides) under unidentified nematode. Its description in RNAcentral is "bacterial SSU rRNA". It matches the Rfam family "Eukaryotic small subunit ribosomal RNA", at positions 144 to 931 of the family's 1831-position model. Lineage: Eukaryota; Metazoa; Nematoda. The record is from RNAcentral.
UAACUGUGGUAAUUCUGGAGCUAAUACAUGCAUAAAAGUCGAAACGUAAUAGUUUUGAUGCAGUUAUUGGAAUUAAAAUCAAGCAUCUUCGGAUGUUAAAGAUUGACUUCAAAUAAUUACACAGCUGAUCGCAUAGUCUUGUACUGGCGACAAGUCAUUCAAGUGUCUGACCUAUCAACUUUCUAUAUAAGUAUAUAGUACUUAUAUGGUUUUGACGGGUAACGGAGAAUUAGGGUUCGACUCCGGAGAAAAUGCCUGAGAAACGGCGUUUACAUCCAAGGAAGGCAGCAGGCGCGAAAAUUACCCACUCUCAGUACGAGGAGGUAGUGACGAGAAAUGACAAGAUCUAGUCCUUCGGGGCUGGAUCAUUGGAAUGGUUUGAUUUUAAAACCAUUAAAGAGUAUCAAUGAGAGGGCAAGUCUGGUGCCAGCAGCCGCGGUAAUUCCAGCUCUCAUACUGCAUUGAAUUGUUGUUGCGGUUAAAAAGCUCGUAGUUGGAUCUCUACAUGAUAGGUUGGUACACUCUUUGAGUUGUUACUAAUACUAAAUGUUUGUUUAUAAGUUUUUUUAUNUCUUUUAACGAANGNAUAAAUGACUUAUGAGUUUACUUUGAAUAAAUCAGAGUGCUCAAAACAGGCGUAAGCUUGUAUGGUUUUGCAUGGAAUAAUAGAAUAUGACUAUGGUUCAUGUUUUAUUGGUUUUACUUACCAUAGUAAUGAUUAAAAGGAACAAACGGGGGCAUCCGUAUCGCAGGGCGAGAGGUGAAAUUCGUGGACCCUUGC